AUGAGUAGCCAUACUUUUGAUGCUUAUAAUGCUAUGUUAGAUUUGUUUGGCCCACCAUCUCUUUUGGUUAAUGGAACGAUUUUAACUCUAGAACAUGUGAUGCAACGGCUUGAUAUUAUUGAAAAUAAAAUUGCCACUGUUGAGUUGACUGAAAAUUUGGAUAAAAAGAUUCAUAAUCACAUUACCCAAUUUGGAUCUAGGGUUGGAGUUACUUUGAAAAAUCUUAAAGAAAAAGAACCUAUAGUCAAUGAAAAAUUAGAUCUAGACUCUGCUAGAAUCGGUAAACUUGAGGAGAUCAUUACAAACUUAGGUUCCGCGUUUUCCCCCAUGAAAAACACUCCAAAAACCCCUACUAAAAUUGCCAAGCUUAUUUAUGUUCCUAAAAAUAAGGGUGAAUCUUCUAAUAAGGGAGACGCAGAUCUCAAAUCCAUAAGUGUUCUUCCAAAUUGUUUCUGUAUCGUUAAAGAACCUUAUGCUACCAAUGAAUUUCUUGAAUUUUUGCCUAAAGGUUUAGAUAUUUCUAAAAGGGGAGAAAUCCCUAGAGAUCACAUGUACUCUAUUGAUGAAUUUAGUGCCAAAGAUGGCGCUCGUUAG
RNAcentral lists this ribosomal RNA (594 nucleotides) under Triticum aestivum (bread wheat). RNAcentral describes it as "partial small subunit ribosomal RNA". Lineage: Eukaryota; Viridiplantae; Streptophyta; Magnoliopsida; Poales; Poaceae. The record is from RNAcentral.